UGGGCGUUAAGUUGCAGGGUAUAGACCCGAAACCCGGUGAUCUAGCCAUGGGCAGGUUGAAGGUUGGGUAACACUAACUGGAGGACCGAACCGACUAAUGUUGAAAAAUUAGCGGAUGACCUGUGGCUGGGGGUGAAAGGCCAAUCAAACCGGGAGAUAGCUGGUUCUCCCCGAAAGCUAUUUAGGUAGCGCCUCGUGAAUUCAUCUCCGGGGGUAGAGCACUGUUUCGGCUAGGGGGCCAUCCCGGCUUACCAACCCGAUGCAAACUGCGAAUACCGGAGAAUGUUAUCACGGGAGACACACGGCGGGUGCUAACGUCCGUCGUGAAGAGGGAAACAACCCAGACCGCCAGCUAAGGUCCCAAAGUCAUGGUUAAGUGGGAAACGAUGUGGGAAGGCCCAGACAGCCAGGAUGUUGGCUUAGAAGCAGCCAUCAUUUAAAGAAAGCGUAAUAGCUCACUGGUCGAGUCGGCCUGCGCGGAAGAUGUAACGGGGCUAAACCAUGCACCGAAGCUGCGGCAGCGACACUCAGGUGUUGUUGGGUAGGGGAGCGUUCUGUAAGCCUGCGAAGGUGGCCUGUGAGGGUUGCUGGAGGUAUCAGAAGUGCGAAUGCUGACAUAAGUAACGAUAAAGCGGGUGAAAAGCCCGCUCGCCGGAAGACCAAGGGUUCCUGUCCAACGUUAAUCGGGGCAGGGUGAGUCGACCCCUAAGGCGAGGCCGAAAGGCGUAGUCGAUGGGAAACGGGUUAAUAUUCCCGUACUUGGUGUUACUGCGAAGGGGGGACGGAGAAGGCUAUGUUGGCCGGGCGACGGUUGUCCCGGUUUAAGCGUGUAGGUGUGUGUUCCAGGUAAAUCCGGUU
This 858-nucleotide ribosomal RNA is filed under the name Salmonella enterica. Its description in RNAcentral is "partial 23S ribosomal RNA". It matches the Rfam family "Bacterial large subunit ribosomal RNA", at positions 689 to 1547 of the family's 2925-position model. The record is from RNAcentral. Lineage: Bacteria; Pseudomonadati; Pseudomonadota; Gammaproteobacteria; Enterobacterales; Enterobacteriaceae. RNAcentral also lists the same sequence under 1 other name.